GCCUCCCCCUCAUUCUAUCCCUUUGCUUGUUCCUCAAGAGCCGGGUUCAAUGGUUCCGACCCGCUUUCCCGAGUCAGAAACGAGUCAAACCCGCUGACCCGGAAGGGCCCGUCGCUGACCAACCAAUCGCCGUGCUCCACGACGCGUGUCGCGGUCCCACCGGCUUCCGCGCGGAUCGCUGGUACUGACCCCAAAUCCGUCUCUUUUUAAUACUUCCAACAGG
RNAcentral lists this long non-coding RNA (223 nucleotides) under Elaeis guineensis (African oil palm). RNAcentral describes it as "long non-coding RNA (EGUI_LNC007567)". Lineage: Eukaryota; Viridiplantae; Streptophyta; Magnoliopsida; Arecales; Arecaceae. The record is from RNAcentral.